GACGAACGCUGGCGGCGUGCCUAAUACAUGCAAGUAGAACGCUGAAGGAGGAGCUUGCUUCUCCGGAUGAGUUGCGAACGGGUGAGUAACGCGUAGGUAACCUGCCUGGUAGCGGGGGAUAACUAUUGGAAACGAUAGCUAAUACCGCAUAAGAGUAGAUGUCGCAUGACAUUUGCUUAAAAGGUGCAACUGCACCACUACCAGAUGGACCUGCGUUGUAUUAGCUAGUUGGUGAGGUAACGGCUCACCAAGGCAACGAUACAUAGCCGACCUGAGAGGGUGGUCGGCCACACUGGGACUGAGACACGGCCCAGACCCCUACGGGAGGCAGCAGUAGGGAAUCUUCGGCAAUGGACGGAAGUCUGACCGAGCAACGCCGCGGGAGUGAAGAAGGUUUUCGGAUCGUAAAGCUCUGUUGUAAGAGAAGAACGAGUGUGAGAGUGGAAAGUUCACACUGUGACGGUAUCUUACCAGAAAGGGACGGCUAACUACGUG
RNAcentral lists this ribosomal RNA (495 nucleotides) under uncultured bacterium. RNAcentral's name for it is "partial 16S ribosomal RNA". It matches the Rfam family "Bacterial small subunit ribosomal RNA", at positions 28 to 507 of the family's 1533-position model. The record is from RNAcentral.